GGUAGCAAAUAAUUUAGAUUUUAAGUAAGAAAGUUUAGCUUUAAUAGUGCAGGUAUGUAGAAAGUUUCUAUGCAAAUAAAAAAGAGAUAUAUUUAUUUAAACUCUUUCUUCAUAUUCUAGUGUAUUGUCACGGACACAAAAUACAAACUUGAAAUCUAACAAGAAGUUCAAGAAGAAGUGACAGAAUUAGAUUAAACAGAUGAGUACAAGAACAACACCAGAAAGGUGAGCUAGAACUCCAAGAGAUGUG
Molecule: long non-coding RNA, 250 nt
Filed under: Physcomitrium patens
Lineage: Eukaryota; Viridiplantae; Streptophyta; Bryopsida; Funariales; Funariaceae
Description: long non-coding RNA (PPAT_LNC014233)
Source: RNAcentral